CGGCCGCGUCGACCGAACGGGUGAGUAACGCGUAGGUAACCUGCCUUGUAGCGGGGAUAACUAUUGGAAACGAUAGCUAAUACCGCAUAACAAUGGAUGACACAUGUCAUUUAUUUGAAAGGGGCAAUUGCUCCACUACAAGAUGGACCCGCGUCUGAUUAGGUAGUUGGUGGGGUAACGGCCUACCAAGCCGACGAUCAGUAGCCGACCUGAGAGGGCGACCGGCCACAUUGGGACUGAGACACGGCCCAAACUCCUAC
This 260-nucleotide ribosomal RNA is filed under the name uncultured bacterium. Its description in RNAcentral is "partial 16S ribosomal RNA". It matches the Rfam family "Bacterial small subunit ribosomal RNA", at positions 100 to 342 of the family's 1533-position model. The record is from RNAcentral.